GACCCUUAGGAGCUUGUCAUGUGGUUAAAUCAAGAUUCACUUGCACGUUCACUUACACAUGCUACUUCUACUCCGGGAGUACGCAUCCACAUAUAUCCACUCAUUUCCAUCUCCAGAACAACCCAAAAGUAUUCUACUCCUAAUCCGGGAGAGAAUAGCCAAAAAUAUUUCUGUUUUCCCCUGUGAAAUAAAUGCUCAAGUUAUCUUGGUUACUACCACUUGCUAUAUUAUUUCAGGAGAUGAGUGCUCUAAAAAAAGAGAAGAAGAAAGGAUACGAGGAAAUAAAAAGGGGCAAGUGCCCGGAACCUCAAAAGAAAAGAAAAAGUGAGACGAGAGAUAAACAUGGACAAGUGUCCGAUAGUAGAAUUAGGGGUAUAGGAUACCCACCUGAGAGGAAAGAAAAAGAAAAUGUAGAGCAUCUCAUUCUCCCCAAAAAAGUUUCAAAAGAGCAAGAAAGGUAUGUAACCCCUCAAAAGAGCAAAAGUAGAAUUAGACUUUCACCAUUGUUAUGACCAUCAUCACCAUACACUAUUUAUUCGCCACACAUGCACAUCUUGAUUUGACUUAUUGACUUGUUUCUAUGGAUCAAUAGUUUGACUAUGCAAUAAAUAUCUUGUAAGUAUGUAUACUUUAUCUCCCACCUAUGAGCUCCAGAUAUAAAAGCCUUAUUAGAGUAGGGUGAGAGAGAAGCCAAUGUCACUAUGCUUCAUACUACAAAUACCACAUACCCAGAGAGAAGGCAUGUACCAUCACUGCCUUCGUAAGGAUCCAGAAAUACCACAAAAGAGAGAUCUGAGAGAGUCAUACAAGGAAUCUCUGAGUUUUAUUUGAAAAUCUGCAAAAACUCUAGAGCUAUAGCUGAUCAAGAAUAAAAGACAUGGCGCUUGACUAGACCGUUCUAUCUUUUAACUGCUCAAGACAGAAAUGAUGGUUACAAGACCCAUGGUGAAAGGUAAAAUGAGUAAGUUUUAAGUCUUGACAGUUUACUCUAACUCAAAGAUGAGACCUUAUUUGAAAGCAUGUGUACCGUCAACUUUUAAAGGCAAUACAACAACUUCUGAUCCAUCACUGAGAUUAUUCUUGCUCAGGGACAAGCAAGAGGUAAGCUUGGGGGAGUUUGUUGACGGUCCUUAAGUAUCAAAUUUAAUCAGCAAAUAAACAAAGAAAAGGAUCCAAAUGCAAUCGACAAGGUUUUGGUGUUUGUCUAUUUCUGCAGGGGGUUAUCAGGAAUUAUGGAAGAAAGGCCCACACGUCGGGUUUAUAUAGAGAUAUUAACGUGCCGCGCAAUUAUCCUACAUCUAGAAUAGUCCAGAAGCCACGGGAACGAACGGGUGACCGCACGGGCUCGGGGGCAGGGCGCCCGCCCUCCCCCUUGGGCGCCCGCCCUGGCCUCGGAGCCAAUUAGGUCAAGAGGAUUCUUGGUAAUUCCUCUACUGUUCUUCAAUUGUUCAUCUUUGUUCUUCAAUAUUAUGGAUAUGACUUUGCUCUACUUCAAUAUAUUGAUUAUGACUUUGCUCUACUUGUUUAUAUUUGCAAUUAUAUUGUUCUUAGUUUAUCAUAGUUAUAUGCUUGGCUUAGUUAGAUUGGAAUUAUAUACAUGUUUAGGAUCGUAUAGCAUUUAUCCAUGUGUACAGUGGGUAAAUGAUAAGUAUUGUGUAGGCAUGGUGCCUAUACCGUAUUUAUCUGCGAUUGUACCCUAUAUGCCGGAUCGCGGGGUAGUUCGUGGUAGUGACAGCUCCAUUGAUUCUUAUAUAGUCCUCCUCUCGUGUAUAGAGCUGGUAGAGCAACAUUAUUACAGGGGAGUGAUUGUAAUGUUUCUCAUCUUCCUUGAUAAUAUCACUAUGCAUGGGCGUAGUCCUUUCUCGCAAUGAUUGCCAAGUAUAAUUGCACUAACUAUGAUAUGCUAGACUAUAUAGUUAAGAAUAACUUAGGGAAUAUUCUUGUAGUUCGUCCUAAUUCAUUGGUAAUGACUUGCUAGAAUAUCUAUUGAGGUGCUUAUCAUAUUUAUAUGUGGCUAAGUUAUGCUGAUCAGAUUAAUUAUCUUUGUCACCAUUCAUAUUUAUCUAUAUCUUAUGUGACACUUAUCUCUGUAUGAAAGAGACAGAUAAAUGCUCUCAAUUAUACAUGCAAUGAUAGAUACUCAAUCUUAUAUUCCAUUUCAUAAUCAACAUUGAUGUUUAGCAAUCCCUUCCCAGUGGUAAAAAUAUAAAUAACGAUACCUGGAAUACUUCCCGGUUAAAACGCUACAUCGGUAUUAAUCUGUACGCUUGCAGAUCUCAUUUAUUAUUUAUUUAGAAGAGCAAUUGCAUAUUUCAAUAUCGUGUCUCUUUUGUCAUGCUGGGGAUGACAACUUGGCUUAAGUGGCAUAAGGGAUAGGUUUGGCAUUAUUGGAGCCGUUAUCAGAAUUAGAAAAUUAAGUCUACUUUUGGUAGUGACGUUAAGAAUGCCCAACAGAAAUAACCAAGUGAUGAGGAUGAAUAAUUAGAGACCGGGUGGGACGAUUAUAGAGAAGUAACAAGACAUGGAGGUCUUGGGUGCCUAUCUAUCCCCACCUGUGUCGAUUAAGGACCGAUCGUUGACGGUCCUCUUGUCAUGUUGAACGCAUGCCCCACACUUAGCUGGAAGGAUAAGUCAUUCCGACCGCGAAGAAUGAACACUAUCCAGGUCGAGAGUCGAGCCGCCAUGCGCUGUAUUGGUGAUGGUUCAGGAGAACGACGAGGGCGCGGUGCGCAAUCUUGGUAUACCUUGGAUACCUCGAUCGCCGGAACGGUCCUCGGGUACUGGCGGUGCCUGCUGAACCCACGAUUUGGUCCUGGAUAGUGCAAUAUGGUGACCUGUAGCUCACUUUGGCCGGUGAGUGUGGUUUGUGUGGGGAAUAAAAUCGCCAGCUGGUCAGAAAUCGAUUCGAAUCGCUAUCGCUCCUGGAUAGUGAGCACUUGACAUGAGCCCUGUCAUCGUAGUAAUGUUUAUGGAACACUUGGACAGUUAUGGUAUGAUGAUGUUGGAAAUGCCACAUCGAAUAUGGGUACUACUGUUGUAUCUUAAUCAAGUGAUUGCUCUAGUAUAGGUGCUAAUAUAGAUGACAGGUAAUGAUUAUUAACUUGAGCUCAAUACCUAAAAAGUUACUUAUCUAUAACCUAAGCUUUUUAUGCAAGAAGUGUUGUCAAGCUAGCCCCACCAAUAAAGCCUUGUAUACUCCUUGGUGUCAUAUUAUUUCUGGUUUAUGACGGGUAAGUCUAGCUGAGUACCUCGUCGUACUCAAUGUUUAUUCCCACUUGUUGUAGAUUGUGAUGUAUCAUGGCUACUACAAGAGUUGGAUGACUCCUACCAUAUUAGAGGAGUAAGAUCAUGGGCAUGAUCCUUCUUAGUUACCUCAUCUAUGUUGCUUUUGUUGGAGUUGACCUAGAUACUGGCAUGUAUUUGAAAUAAGGGCAAUAUUAGUUUCAAAUUUCUUUGCUUCCGCUACUUUUCAACUGAAGUUGUAAUAACUAUAUUGAACUCCAAUGUAUAUAAAACUAGUUGUGAAAUGGAUGUAACAUGUGACUUGUUAUGUUGAAUCACUACGAUCUUGGCUUGUAUGAUGGUUGGUUUGAAAUCCCUCGUAAUUUCACGGACUACCGGGUUUAUGAGAGUUCGAUUAUGUUAAAGCAACUGCUUUGGCGGGAGUUUUUCAUAGUUGAUCUCUUGUAAAUUGGACGGUUCUGUUACAGCUGGUAUCAAAGCAAGGUUCAACAUUAAAAUUGUCAUAUGUCUAUUUAAAACAAAAGAUUUUGUUUUAUAAAAUCAGUUUUUGACAACUUAUAGCUAUUAUAGAUAUAGGUGUGUUCAAAUCUAAAAAGGUUUUAUCUAAGUAUGCCACUGGUCAUUUCCUUUAUGCCCAAUUAAGGACCCUUAGGUGGCUUAUUUAAUUACUAACUUGGGGGUUUGUGCAUCAUAUUGCUAUUUCGUUGCUCAUACAACGUGCAAUAGUAUGAGUGCCAUUCAUUUGAAUGGUAUUGUAUGGAUCAUUUUUCCUCUACGCUUUGGUAAGUGUGAGCUAUGAGAGCAUGAUCGGAUACACCGCCGAUCUAGGGAAGUGCUUUUGGUACUGGAUCAUGUGCACAUUUUACAUGUGCCUAUGAAUAGGUACCGCAUGAUGGGUGAUUCCGUCCUUAGAGGCAAUGCCGUCGCUAGGACGAUGAUGUGGGUAGUAGCACUACACAUACAGGUAUGGCGAUACACGUGUGUGGAGGGCAUAGCUAUUAAAUCUUGUACUGCAUGUUUCAUACUAUGGGUGGGCUAAAAUGAAUUUUCUGUAGGUACACUAACCACAAAUGCGUAAAUUGAAUAUUACGACUAGCUAUAUGUCGAGAGUGUAUGUGUUAUGCCACCGACAUAGAACGUGAUUGCCACCUGGUAGUUUUGUGAGGACGAAUAGGACGAAGCAUGCAUCAUCAUGAUUGUUGUCUUAUGUAUAGCUAUGCUUCUCUCACCUUUGUUCUAAUAAUAAGUAACAUGGGAAUCAAUGUGGUGUCACCUUGCUUAUCUGUGCGUUAGACAAAAUGCUUUACUCCAUGUUGCUUGAAUAGCUAUAAUUAAAGAUAGGGUGUAAUUUGCUUUGUUUUGCAUGUUGUGGUCGAUCUGUGCACCCUGUCCGUAUGAUGCACAUCUCUAAGAUGACUAGUCUUUUAAACAUAAGUUAAAAUUUGUUUUCACGACUGGAGAAGAAACAUACACCUUUCUAGUAAAAGAAAGAAAAAGAUAAAAACACUUUACCAUCAUGUUUUGUAUGUUCAUGUGUACUAGUGUUGCUUUAGAUGAUUGCUUGAUAUCUGCAAAUUUUGUGCUUAGUAAUGAUUGUUGGCGAUUGUGUGAUUGAUGUUCUCACAUGUUUGCUUAAAACCAUGAUGCAUGAGUGGAUGUGUUGUUAACUAGGUAGUGUCGUAGUUGUUACCUUUUUGUCCUUAGUAAGCAUGCAAGUGUUGAAGAGCCUUUGAACAGCACUGAUGUCACUUUAAUCUCAUGGUUGUCUCCAAGUAGAUUCCAUUGAUAAAGAGCUUGGGUUUGGGCAUGGUUGUUAGCUUUUGAAUGUUGUGUAUCCAUUCCCUAAUCUGAUUCAUGAUCCCAAGCUUAUCUCUCCUACAUGCUUGCAUAUGUCAUGGGUGUCUUACUUCUAUGUAUCAAGACCCUGCCCUAAGAAUUCCUAUUAGAUCUCUCUUCUCUUUGUCAUGCUAAUCUGUUGCUGCAUGGAUCUACAAAAAAUCUUUUCCAUGUAGAUCAUGAUGUUGUUUUAGCAAUUGAACCCCUAAUCUGUGUAUUGAUUCCAUCUUUUAUAUCUCAAUCGUUUGAUCUCCAACUAUCUUGAGUCCUAGAGUGUUUAUCUGUCUUAAUCUCAUGUGAUCUAUAUUCUCUAGUACUAUGUUUAAUCUUUAAAUCACCUCCUUGUGGACCUCUAAUCUCAUGACUAUCUCAGUUUGAUACCCCUCUGUUGCAAAGUGCUCGCUGCUAUGCAACUCAAUUUUUACCAUGAGAGAUUUCCAUUGGGUUGUAUGUUUGGUAAUGGUGCCUUGGUUAAUGAUCGAUGGUGCCGUGAGGAAACCGAGAGCCCCUUGUGGCGGCCGACACAUGGUUGUGCUACUCGGCACGCACUGGUAUCAUUGUUGCUAGCCAUGCUCCAUUAUAGAACUACACCAAUGUGUCAUCUCAUCAUGAGUUUGUCCUUAAUUAUCUAUCCAGAUUUGAUCAGAAGAUCCUUACUUCACGUGCAAGUAAGAGAACUUCCUAUAUACGUUUGAAGAAUGGGUCACUGACAUAAACAUUGACAGACUGCAAGAGGUGGUAGACAAGUGACACUAUUUAACUAUCCCUGCAAUGAUGAUGGCCAUUUAAUGAGCAACAUUGGUCAUCCACACCGAACCAAAAGGACGCACGACACUUAAUGUUGGACAAGUUAUUUGUUGAACAAGCAUCAGUCAUCACCGUUGUGCUUAUGAUCUAGUUUUCCUAAGUCUUUAUCUUUAUGUGCAUCAUGGUGAUACGACUAAAGUCAACCAUCUUUAUCAUGAAUCCUUAUCUCCUGGCUUUGAGGGUGACUAAUGGUUAAGCGUCAACCGCAAUUGUUGUGGUUAAGUGUGGGGCUUUGGAAAUUUUAGUGGUAAAAGCCAAUUGAUUGGGUGCUAGUAACAAGGCUAAUCUCAAGCAAGGUAAUGAUGGAUUGACAGCCAUGAAGGAUAUAUUUCAUCAAAUAGUGAAUUAAACUUUAGAGUUGAGAGAUGUCUUGUCAGUCCAAAACACUGUCGUUUCAGCAUCGAACAAGUUUAGUAUGUAUAUGUUCUGCCUACACAAAUGGUGCCCGUUAGAGCUGAAUUUUGAUCAAAGGUCUUAAGACUCAUGGAUCUGUAAUUCUACCAAAUUUCAUGGAAAUGUGAGUGGUGUUUGUUUUGGUGCCAUGGAUUACAAUAUGGGCAAUGUCUUGCUGUAUAGAUAGUGCUUAUAUGAUGAAACUAGAUUCUUUGUACCGAUUUGUGCCAAUGUGAGUCAAAAACAAUUUGAAAGGUGUCAAUCAAUAGAUUGUCAAUAUCAGAGCUACCGACUGAUCCUAAAAAGGAAGCCUCAAAGGCAACUGGAUUGGUUUUGCCAUGGUACAAGUCAACUUAACUCUUAUGCAACUGCAUCAUGAAGAAAGGUCAUGCUUAACCUACUUGGUGGUACCCUAUUUCUGUAGUUGGUUGAACACUUGAAACUGUUGGAGACCUAUAGGCCCCACUAUCAUCCUUUGUCAGUAGUGGUUAUCCAAUUCUUACAUGCCUUGGUUACCUUCUAUGUGUUACCCAAAAAGUUACAUCUGAUUCAACCUAGAUAACUGUUGUUGUUUGGAUACAAGAAUCCCCUUAAAGUAAAUGAUCAUGGAAGAUGUUGAACCAACAAAGUCAGCUAUCACAUUCACCGUUCUCUUAAUCGGGUGGUAAGUACAAUGUGGUCAUCACGAAAAGAGAACUACAUGCGUGGAAUGUUGUAAUCCAACCAUUUUGGUAGAGGACUGCUUUUCAAAUCUUGUGAAUGAGCAUGGAACCACUAAUGAGCAACCCUUAGAAGCUUGUGACCUGGUGCAAAGUUCUUAUGGCUUGUAUUAGUUUCACUAAACAAGCUAAUGGUACAGGUGGAUCCUGAUGCUCUAACCCACCGUUUAUACACGAGAAACAAAGUACAUGGAACAGUGUUAUCUUGGAUUCCUCCCAAAGUAACAAUACUCACUGAAGUCAAACAAAAAGGGAGAUUCUCUAGAUAAAGGUUUACCAUGGAGGGCAAGUAUCAGAAAAUGUUUGGAUCAAGUUAGCUUCUCUGAUGUUCUAAGCUAAGUCGCCCACUACUACCACUGAUAUUGGGAGAUGUGCGACAUUGUUUUCUUUCCUUGAAAGUCUUUUGCACCGAAUCUCGGGACGAGAUUCUUUUAAGGGUGGAAGCUGUAACACCCCAGGUGUUUGUCACUUGCUAAGUACUAGGUUUGAGCUCAAACAUGACAAGUUCAAUGGUAAUAAAAAGGUCAAAUUCAAUCUAUGAAAGAUAUGCUUGGAUGAUGAACCUUUACUUACAUAUAGGCCCUUCUUGAAAGAUAUGCUUGGAUGAUACUAGUGGAACAUUUUUUUCAUGUGUCUCAUAUCCAUCCCAAUCUAUGUUGGUCCGUGGAAAAGUUUGGUGAAGUUUGGAAUCAAGAAGUCACAUGAAAUGAUAAGUUAUAUCCUUGUCGGAAUGGCUCUAUUAAGAAAAUAGAAUCAUGGGUCAUCAACCAACCCUUGCCAACUUGCUCAUAUGACUCUAGAUGAAUUAUACAACAAAAGUCAUGAAGGGUUCAUGUUGAGCUUAUGCCAAGGAAAUGCUUCAAUUGGCCUAAAACCCUAUUUGGACCUUUAUCAGGAUACUGCUUUGACCAAAGUGAAAGAUUGACUUAUGUUACCGUUAUGAGGUUUGACCCUAAAUAAAAGUGGUAGUUUUGCUUCUGUAUAAGAAACUUUAUUCAAGGGUCAAGAACCAAAUCAGCCUGCAAAUAGUUCAAACAGAGGCUCAAAGUUUGAAUCAGCUGCAGCUUUUUAGCCCUGAGAAAUUUGAAUCAGCUGCAGCUUUUUAGCCCUGAGAAAUAAUUCUAAGUCCCUGGAAGUACAGCAGUGAGUUAGCUCCUUCGUGACAUUUUAUUAUCCAAAUUCAUAUGGUAACUCAAUUAGAUUCCUUAAUAUGAGUUGGAGUACUCUUCUUGAUGAAAGUAAUGGAUCAAGUUUCAUCAAAUUUGGAGUUCAUUUGGAUAUCUAAAAAUAGCUCCCAAAACAGCAAAAGUUUAUUUUAUCGCUAAACGGACAUCGACCCGUUGGCAUGCCGUGUUAUCGUGUUUUUGUUAAGCAACUCAAGUUGGUCCAAAAUAAAUGUUGUGGAUAAUUGUUUGGAGAAGGUCAUGUAAAAAGUUGCAUCAAGUUUGACAUGGGUUGGACCAUCAACUCUUGGUUUCCACACUCGUGACUUGGCAUCUAAUUAUCUCUUAAUAUAUUGAUCUAAUGGCCAAGCACACUUAAUGAAAGUUGUAGAGCACGGCGAGAUAAGCAAACUUCAUUUUGGGCUCGUGAUCCAAUUCGGCCCAGAAGUGGCCCGAAUCGGCGUCCCACCUUGGCUACUUUCAUGCCCGCCACCUGUUUGUCGAAAUGCUUCAAUGGGCGACGCGUGGCGAGCACGUGGCUGCCAUGCCCGAGUGCGCGCCCCCUCCUCUGCUGCUCGCCCAGGAGCCCCCAUGCCCGCCAGUCGAAGUGGAGAGGCACCCCAACGCCUUCCUAUCCCUCUCCACCCUCGGCUCGCUUUCUCCCUCGCUCUAUGUCGGCUCCAGAGCGGAGGCACCAUGGCCACCACAAGAGCUCUCUCCUUCCUCACGGUCUUGCCGCUCCAGUGCUUCUCCACCCUUGCUGGCUGCGCCCUAGUCAUCCGCACAGAGCGCCGCUCCUUCCAUGCUCUUUUUUUUCACGUGCCGGUCAUGGCUAUUCGUCCUGCUCGACGGAGCAGCCGGUGCUGCUGCUGGCUACAUGGCCAGGCCGCCUGAGAGUGGCUCAGGCCAAGCUGAGUGGUGUGGUGGAUGCGGGCAAGCCACCUGGUGCUUCCCCACCCCUGCAUCGUCGCCGACGAGGCCUCAGCCGGUCGGAGUUUUCAUGGCGACCAGGGACAUCGGGUUAUAAUAUGAAACAACACAGGGUUCCAGAUGCGAACCACAGACUCAUAUGAAUAGUGCGUCUGGACUUCGGCUUGAUUUGUGGAAAACUUAGGGUUCCCGAGGCAAAAGUGUUUUUCUUUUUCUUUUGUUUUAGCAGAUUUCUGGGUGAACUUUGGAAAUGCAUAGAAAUUCAUAGAAAAAUUGUAAAAUAGGAAAUGUGGACAUUUUGGAAUCCUUGUGAAAUUCUCUAUGCAUUAGAUCUAUUUAUGCAAUUAGGUUUUAACUGCUUGUUAUAUUUGUCUUUUUCAUAACUGCUGUAGUAUGGCUCAAAGAAAUGUGGAAAUAUGGUGACAUUCUUUCCAUAUGAUAAUUGAUGUCUGGUAAUUGUUUCAUGAAUUUAGGAAUGGUAGAUUAAGAGUCAUAAAAAUAACAAAUGCCCUGUGUUGCUUUGCUCCUAUUCUGAGUAGGUCUGCAUGUUUGUAUUGUUUGGCUCUAUUAAGUUGUGAAUCUUGCCUGGAUGAAAAUAUAUGAGUUGUAGUACUUUUCAUAAUCUUUCCAUAAAGAUAAAUAGCACAAUUUUUGGUCAAGCACAUAUUUAGUUAUAGUGGUUUAAAUUACUGUUACAGUUUCUGUCUAAACCCAGACAGAAUUGCAUUGUUUGUUAUGUGAGACCUUGUUAAUGGUAGAUUUAGCUCUAGAUAUUUAUAACAAAGUUGUUCAAAAUUUAUUAAUAUUUCUAGAAAGUACACAACCAUAAUUUAUGGGCAUAUGAAUCUCAAGUUAUAGCUGUUUAAUUUGGCAUGACAGAUUCUGUCCAUGUUUUGGACAGAGAUGUCUUUAUGGGGUUAAUUGACCUUGUUAGCUGUGGAUUCAUAUUUAGAUGAUAAUAAGAAAGUUGUAGGUCACUUUAUGAGAUUUCCAAAAAGAUAAGAAUCAUGUUUGCUGGAGUUCUACAACUCCAGUUAUGCUUCCUUGAAUUGCCUAUCAGUUUUCUGUUUGUAAUUGUACUUCUACUGUUUGUCAGCAUGAGCAGUUUUAUUUAUGCAAUUAAUUCCAUGAUAUAAAUGAUGUUUGCUGUGAAACUUGUAUAUAGAAAAGAUGUAGAUAAUUUACUAAUAUAUAUUUUGGUAAAGUUUCAUAUCAUUUGGCUAAGUGGGUUGUGAGUUACAGUAGUAUGAAUUUCAUCCUUUAAAAUGCUUGUUUUCUGGAAAUUCCUAGACCAGAUUAUAUGGUCACGCAUGUUUGACUUGGUUAACUUGUUAAUCAUGCUAAUAUGAUUAAAUAUGAAUUUUAGAUAAUUUGAUAUUCUUUCCAGAAUGUCCUAUUGCAUAGUUUUUGGAGUUGUGUAACCCCAGUUAUGAUUUAUUUACUGAGUUGCUGCAUGUAUGUCCAAAAUUGCUAAAAAUGCAUGAAUGCUUGAUUACUUUACUUGGUGUGUGCAAACUGUGAUUCAUAUCUUUAAUGGGGAUUAAGUAAUACACUUGUAACCUUGUAAAACUUGUGUCAUGAUUUAUAUGUUUGCUCUAUAUAAUUGUUUGUGUGAUGUUAGCUAAAUAAAUUUAGAUGCUUGUGUCUUGCAUACUUUUGUGUGAUGCAUAUUGUGUUAUUAUUCUUCAUAUUCAUGCACUUGCAUCUUGCAUCUCAUCUAGGUGCGCUAGAUGAAUCACGUGAAGGUCAUGGUGUGGAAUCAGACUAGAAGAUGGUGUUUGGUGGACUCAUCCUGAAGGUGGAAGGACUAAGAAAGUGUUGUGACCUUAGAUGUCACCAAGACGGAGCAACUAACUGAACUGACUCAGUGAUGAUCCCAGGCAAGCCCCGCAGCAUUAUAAGUCUCCCACUACUUUUGAAUGCAAUUGAGAAUAUAUGUUUUAUAUGUAUUGUUGUAUUAAGUAUAGGAGUUGGGUGAAACCCUUGCUGCAUAUAACACUCCUUGUCCAGCACAUAUACCUCUAACCCUAUGUAGAUUCGGGAUCGAAUCUAAAUGCUUAGCCAUGCUUAGACCGGUAGAAGCCAGGUGAUGUCGUGUCACUUGAGCGAGAUAGGUGGAUACCUGAAAAGGUUGGCUAUAUAUGAUAUCAUGGAAAUAACCAAGUGAUGAGGAUGAAUAAUUGGAGACCAGGUGGGACGAUUAUAGAGAAGUAACAAGACAUGGAGGUCUUGGGUGCCUAUCUAUCCCCACCUGUGUCGAUUAAGGACCGAUCGUUGAUGGCCCACUUGUCAUGUCGAACGCAUGCCCCACACUUAGCUGGAAGGAUAAGUCAUUCCGACCGCGAAGCCUGAACACUAUCCGGGCCGGGAGUCAAGCCGCCAUGCGCUGUAUUGGUGAUGGUUGAGGAGAACGACGAGGGCGCGGCGUGCAACCUUGGUAUACCUUGGAUACCUCGAUCGCCGAAAUGGUCCUCGAGUACUGGCGGUGCCUGCCGAACCCGCGAAUUGGUCCUGAAUAGUGCAAUAUGGUGACCUGUUGCUCACUUUGGCCGAUGAGUGUGGUUUGUGUGGGGAAUAAAAUCGUCAGCUGGUCAGAAAUCGAUUCGAAUCGCCAUUGCUCCUAGAUAGUGAGCACUUGACUUGAGCCCUGUCAUCGUAGUAAUAUUUAUGGAACACUUGGAUGGUUAUGGUAUGAUGAUGUUGGAAAUGCCACAUCGAAUAUGGGUACUACUAUUGUAUCUUAAUCAAGUGAUUGCUCUAGUACAGGUGCUAAUAUAGAUGACAGGUAAUGAUUAUUAACUUGAGCUAAAUACCUAAAAAGUUACUUAUCUGUAACCUAAGAUUUUUAUGCAAAAGGUGUUGUCAAGCUAGCCCCACCAAUAAAGCCUUGCAUACUCCUUGGUGUCAUAUUAUUUCUGGUUUAUGAUCGUAAGUCUAGCUGAGUACCUUCUCGUACUCAGGGUUUAUUCCCACUUGUUGCAUGUUGUGAUGUAUCAUGGCUACUGUAAGAGUUGGAUGACUCCUACCAUAUUAGAGGAGUAAGAUCAUGGGCAUGAUCCUUCUUAGUUACCUCAUCUAUGUUGCUUUUGUUGGAUUUGACCUGGAUACUAGCGUGUAUUUGAAAUAAAGGCAAUAUUAGUUUCAAAUUUCUUUGCAUCCGCUACUUUUCAACUCAAGUUGUAAUAACUAUAUUGAACUCCAAUGUAUAUCAAACUACUUGUGAAAUGGAUGUAACAUGUGACUUGUUAUGUUGAAUCACUACGAUGUUGGCUUCUAUGAUGGUUGCUUUGAAAUCCCUCGUGAUUUCACGGACUACCGGGUUUAUGAGAGUUCGAUUAUGUUAAAGCAACUGCUUUGGUGGGAGUUUUUCGUAGUUGAUCUCUUGUAAAUUAGGCGGUUCUGUUACAAAAGUCUAAUUCUACUUUUGCUGCUGUUGACACCAUUUUUGGACACGUAUCUUUUGAUACGCAUCUGGAGUUAAUGAGAUGUAGAUCAGUAGAUGGAACAGUGGUGGUCAGUCUGCAGGGAAGUUGCCGGUAAAGGUGGCUGCUGAUGAGAAACAAUCGGAUAUGGCCAAGUCCAGAAGGGGUGGUGUGUUCGUGCCGAUGACCAAUGACGGUGUUUGCCGAUGACUAUGGACGGGUAAUCUGCCGAUGACUCUGAAGAAAAGCGCGGAAGUUGUCGAUUGAUUCAUGGUGGUAUCCCGAUCGGUUACGGGGGUAGUUUAAUGUUUUCCUUAGUUAUUAGAGUUCAUUUUGUAUACGGUUUCUAUUUAAUUUGGAAUUUGAGUCAUAGUCAUGUCUGGUUGUAGUUCUUUGGACAGGGUAUAAAUAUAGACCCUAGGGCAAUGUAAUGAGAAAUCUAUCAAUCAAUCAAACACAAGUUUUUACUCAUAUUCCAGCAUCUACUUUUUCGACGACUUCGUCAUAUUUUCUUUUUACUAUGAGUUCAUAGGAAUUCAUCGAGUCAAACUCGACGUGUUCUCAAGUUCUGCAUGAUCACCUCUUGGCCGUGGCAUCUGGGCGUGUCGCUGUUGUCGGGACCAAAGUGGUCGAGUUACCACCUUUGUCAAUUGUAAGGUCAAAUCGGCUGGCACGCCUUAACGUUUGAAUCGGGUAUUAGCCCUUUGUGUUUGCAGAUCAGUUUUUGCACCAACAGCUCCCUUGAAGGAAUACAUACCUUUUUUGCACUUUGAAGCUUUUGAAAGGACUAAGAUGCUCGAUGUUGACGGUCCUUAAGUAUCAAAUUUAAUCAUUAAAUAAAUAAAGAAAAGGAUCCAAAUGCAACCAACACCCAGACUUAGGGUUUUAUCUGACAGAAUUCCACGAGUUUUGGUGUUUGUCUAUUUCUAUAGGGGGUUGUCAGGAAAUAUGGAGGAAAGGCCCACACGUCGGGUUUACAUAGAGAUAUUAACAUGUGCAGCAAUUUUCUAUCAUCUAGAAGACUCCAGAAGCCACAGGAACAAACGGGAGGCCGAGCGAGCCCGAGGGCAGGGCGCCCGCCCUCCCCUCUUGGGCGCCCGCCCUGCUACAGGAACCAAUCAGGCUCUGCCUUGAGGAUUAUGCUCCACAACCUUUGAGGAUCAAGGAAAACCAUGCGAUUAAGGUCGAUUUCAUCCGACGGCCAACGUUCAUUUGAGGGGGCUAUAUAAGCAGGGCCCCUAGUCCCUGGAGGAGGCAUCCCUAUUCAUUAUUCAUAGCCAGAGCAAAAGCUAUGGUUUGGAGAUGAGAGCUCUCCUCUCUUCUCUACACUAGAGUAGAUCUAAAUAGUAGCGAGAUGGAGAGUGAGGGAGGAUUGGAGGAGACGCCGGCCUGUCAGUUCUUCGUCUGGUUGUACUUCGCCAUGAUCAAGCUCUAAUCAAGCUUGCUCAUGGGAUGACUUUGGUAAUCUACUUCUAUUUUAUUAUACAAUCCAUGUAUAUUAUGGUUCAUAACUCUUCUGAGUACUUUUAAUUUAUAGGACCCUAUAGGUUAGAGUUGUAGUAUAGGUGUAAGCAUGGUGCUUAGACCUAGAUUACUUGUGGAUAUCCCCUGUCUAGCCGGAUCGUGUGGUAGGCCGCGUAGGUGACAGCUACGUUGGUCCUCUAUAGUCCACCUCCCGUUAGCAGGACUGGUAGGGUUUAUCGGCCUAUGGAUAAGCAUCCUUUGUGGUGUAUUCUUAUCACGUGGUUCGUCCCAGACAUAGACAUACCCCUUUGAAGUAGAGAAACCAUAGUUAUCCUCUAUUCUCCUACCAUCGCCCAUAUACUAGAUUGCUCUACACUCUAUUCCCAUAUUAUCACCCAUUGUUAUCUUACCUUUAAUACUGUUCUUAUUAAUUUCUAUCAUCUUUCCUAUUUACACCUACCUAUCUAUCUAGGUUAAGUUAGAGCGUAGAUCAGUUCUCCCGUUUCCCUAUGGAUACGACAAAACCUUUAACCGGGUAAAAGCUACCACGGUAUCCGUGCGCUUGCGGAUUUAUCUGUGUGCGUAUAAAUACCAUAGUAAACUCUAGUGCUAUGCUGGGGAUGACAACCUAGUAUUCAAGUGGUGUUAGCAAGUGUCAACAAGCUUUUUGGCACCGUUGCCGGGGAAACGGUUGCUGAGUUGACUACGAACUAGCUUAAUCAUUUUCUAAAAAAUAAAUAAAUAUAUUUUUCCUUUUAUCCUUUGCCUUAUCUCUGCUAUUCUUUCUUCUUAUCUAAUCCUUGAUCUCUGGUCUAUCAUGAAUUCAAAUAUGUCUAUCUAUGAUUUUUUAGACCUACGGGCACACAUCUCGAAGCACCAAAACCUUCAAAGCCUAUCAUAGCAUCUAGUUUUGAGAUAGACCCCGAAUACAUAGAAUUUGUUCAAAAACAACCUUUCUCAGAAGAAGGUGAAGAAAACCCAUACACACACCUAAGAGAGUUUUAUCGAGUCUGUGACCUCCUUCGCAUAGAAGGCAUGUCCGAUGAGACCCUUAAAUGGAAGCUCUUUCCGUUCUCUUUAACAGGAAAAGUUAGACAUUGGUAUAAACUCAAAGUAGGGAGUGUUCAUGGAGAUUGGAAGGAGUUAUAUAAUAGUUUUCUUUUUAAAUAUUUUCCAAUCUCCAAAGUGGCAGAACUUUGGCGUGAGAUUACUUCUUUUAGACAACUGGAAGAAGAAUCUCUUGGCCCAAAGCUUUCUAUUCCAGAAGAAGUUCUUCUAUUUCACUUUUUUGAGGGCCUUAGUAGGAAAAAUAAGCAAACCUUGAAUACAAUCUCUAGAGGAUCCUUCUAUCACCUACCUGCUAGUGAAGCUAGGGAUUUAAUUUAUUCAUUGAGUGGAAAGUUUCCUAGCAUUUAUAUCCCUGAGAAAGAGAAAGAACCAGUUCCGAGACAAGAAGAAGAAGUUUCGAUUGCCAGGUCACAAGCACUUCAAUCCCAAACUUUAGCUAUCGAUCCUAAACCAUCAAUACCCCAAAAUUCUCCAAGGGAGGAAGGAAUUCCGACCUUAAAUCUUUCAGAUACUGAUGGUUUAGACUUCUGGUUCCAAAAGAGACUUUCAAGCAUAGAUAAUUCAAAUCCUUGCAAUGAUGGUUCUCUUAGAGAAUGUCCUCGUUCCUGUUAUGAAGAAGUCAAGGAUGACAUAUCAAGUGAAGGAGAGCUAAGCCAUAUAGAAAAUUCUAUCUGCUCCCCUUCCAUGCUCACAAGUUCUAAAUCCAUCCUUGACCUUAGAGAUCCCUCUUAUCACUCUCCUUUCCAGUCUCAUGAGGAUCCUAGCAAUUCACCAAGACAACCAAACCUUAGGAGUCAUGAAGACCAUAAGGAUGACAUGUCAAGUAAUGCCAUAGAAGGAGAUCUAAGCCAUAUAAAAGAUUCUAUCAGCUCCCCUGCUCGAUCACAAGUUCCAAAUGGCUGGAAUGUGUAAAAUGGAUGGAUAAGGAACGAUCCUUAUUGGAUUCUGACCUUGGCUCAAUUUUAGAUGUUGAGUCUUUAACUCCCCUUGAAUAUGAUAUUCAUCCAUCUAUAGAAGAGGACAUAGACGGGACCAAUCCAAGAGAAACUCUGAACAUUCAGAUUAGAGACGAAGAUAACAUUAAUGAGCAUGGAAUUUAUUUCAUAGCCACUUCAUUUACUCCAUGCUCAUAUGAAACAUCUUCCCAAUCUACUGGUCUCUCCAACAUCACCACAUUUGAGAUCUCCAACCCCCUCUUCCUUUCUAUUUACAAAAACAUUAAAAGAGUGGUUGUCGAUGCAUAUGUCUAUAACAAAUAUUGCAGAUCUCGUUGAGCUAAUCGUGAUAUACAAAGGUUGGCGUCGGAGGGGAAACCACUUCGCCAACAUAAACUGAUGGUCUCCCAUGGACAAGCUUAGUGUCCUAAAAUAAGCGCUUAUCAGAUCGUAACAUGACCUUGCCAUAUUGCCUUGUGUAUUGAGCAUAUAAAGAUAAUUGUGAAAAUAUUCCUUCAGGUAUUCUUGUCACUAACCUUUCUAGGAUUGGAGCAAGAAGAUCGGAUGAAUGACAAGCACAAGAUAUGUCCAACCAAUCAUCAUUGAACACUGAAUUAAAUUCAUCCAAACUUGAAUUUUGCAAAAUUCAAGCUUGGGGGAGUACCUUACAUAAAAACAUCCUUUGCCAUGUUGCUAUGUUGGUUGUCCCUACCUUUGAGACAUGCUCAAUUUUUGAAAUACUAAUCACACUACUUCAUCUCCACUUGAGUAUAUCUCUAUAAAUGCCAUCACGCUACCUUUGUUUAUGCUAGUAAGUGUUAGUUUGGAAGUACUGCACAUACUUCUAUUGGCAUUUAAAUUAAGCAUGGUGCUUAUGUUAAACAGCCUUCCUGAAUCUGAUUAGACAUGGAGUCUAGUUCGGUUAUUGAACUAAAAAACUACUUGUGUAGACAUUGGUAUAUUUUGUCGGACUAACCCCUGCAGAAAAACUUUCAAUAUCAAUUUGGGAAGUCUUGAGAUAAACUCACAUCGGAGAUGAAGAGAGAGACACAUGAAGUGUAACAAUUUGCACAAGAAGGACAUAGCUCAUUCAUCAUAGAGAGAUGAUCCAUGGAAGGAGACAAUGUACAUAAACAAGAUACACAACCACUAUGAAUGGGAAGCUUCCACAAGGUGAGAUGGUACCAUCACUCUUCAAUUAAGGUAACAUCUUAAGAUAUGUGACUAUCACUUUUAUAAGCUUCUCCUUGGGUCUAGCGUUCACAUAAAUAAAGAGACAAAUAUGUAUGAUUUAUAACUCCAAAUUAACCAACCCAACUGAUUCAGCAUGUUUAGUCCUUUAAUCUUUGUUCCUAGUACUACCUCCAUGAUCCCACACUCCUAAUCAUAUGAGCUAAAAUGUUGCACAUUCAAUCUUUGGGAAGAUAUAAAGAAAAAGAUAUAUACAUAGAUAGAUUAUCUUUCCAUAAGGUUGAGCGAUCUGAUCUGACAAAUGUUUUAAAUGCUACACUCAUGAACUUAUCACCCAUCAACUUUGUCUUGCUCCCUAUGCUUAAGGAUAGAGAAGAAUAAAUAUACUUUUGGUUGUGUUGGUGUUUUCCACCAACAGGACCCAUGCACUUGAUCUCUGCCUUGUCUCUAUGAGCAGGACACAUUGUGAGAAACAUGGAGGAUUUUUCAACUCCCAGACUCUACCAAGUGAAGGACCUGGAUCUACGAGCACAAACACACUGAGCAAGAUACUGCCAACGCCGCACUUCAAACUGCUGGGCAAACGAAGAACAUGGGUGACACCGUAUCAAGAGGUGCAGACGUCAAGGUCCACACCUGAAUCAAAUGACGCACCUGAAAAAUGAACACAGUGAGAAGUCUUGUUCAGAAGACUUAAAACAUUGAACCCUCGCCGAAAGGUAAAAUCGGUAGUUAUCCAUAUUUGUCCUUUCUGCAUUCCCUUUUCCCAUAAAUUAUUUACUUUCCUUAAAUGGCUUGUUAGUUAAUCAUGCUAUCUUGAAACAAAAAUAAAAAUGUUAAAAAUAGUAAGCCCCAUGUGAGUAUGCUCAUGGCAUAAAACCCAUAAGUACAUUCACUGUGGUGGCAUAAAAUAAAAUAAAUAUAUUCCUCUCCUAUAGAAAUGCAAAUAUAAAAAUAAAUUUAUGGUCCUACCAAAGAGAGUAAUAUUUAUUAGAGGAAGCUCAACAUGAUAAAGACAAAUAGAUUUUAUGCUAACACUUAACCAGUUCCACAAAGCUUUAUUGUCUAUUCGAGCUCCACAGAAUUAAAGACUGAAAGAAGACUAGCAGACGGAGGACAUCCUAAUCGCUAUCAGGGUGCUGCCGACAUUCAAAUACACCUCCACCACCUGCUAGCUACAUCAGAAGAAAAUUAUGUCAAAAUCCAGCUUGGGGGAGAGCACCCCCAUUUAUCCAGCUAAGUGUUUAUAUUCGCGUUUAUACUUUACUCAAACAAUAAAAAGAUGCAUAAUAAAAAAACCCAAAUAAAGAUUUUGUGCUUAUAUUUUUGCUUAGUUUGCUAAAUAAAUAAAUAAAGUGUCUAUGCCAAAUUGAACUCCAAUGAUAAACUCUUACAUAGAUAUGAUGAAUAGUUGCUCUGCCAAGUACCUAGUUUUCAAAUUUGAGCUCGCUCUCAAGUUUAGGCAUAACUAUUAUAAUUUAAAGCUUGCUCUAAACCUAAACUUGUGGGAAGAGUACCUGAUCAAAAGUCUAAGUCGUUAACGGAUAUGAUAUGGGAAGGUUGAGCUGCUAUUUAUCUGUUCCUAGAGAUACUUGAAUUCUAGAGAAUUUUACCUUUGAAAAUCUUUAAAAUGUUGCAUGAUAAGUUCCUGUAUGAUGAGAGUUUAAAAUCGUACCACAGCCAUAUAUACAUGCUUAUUAGACUAUGAACCAUACAUUUACUUUUUACUACUUAUGAGCAUUGAGUGUGGUCAAGCUGUGUAGACCCUUAGGAGCUUGUCAUGCGGUUAAAAUCAAGAUUCACUUGCACGUUCACUCAUACAUGCUGCUUCUACUCCGGAAGUACGCAUCCAUAUACAUCCACUAAUUUCCAUCUCCAGAUUCACCCAAAAUUAUUCUACUCUUAUCUAGGAGAGAAUAGCCAAAAACAUUAUCCUAUCCCGGUUAUUCCCUGUGAAGUAAAUGCUCGAGUUAUUUUGGUUACUACCACUUGCUAUAUUAUUUCAGGAAGGUAAGUGCUCUGAAAAAAAGUGAAUAUGAGGAAAUAAAAAGGGGCAAGUGCCCGGAACCUCGAAGAAAAGAAAAAGUGAGACGAGAGGUAAAAAUGGACAAGUGUCCGAUAGUAGAAUUAGGGGUAUAAGAUACCUACCUGAGAGAAAAGAAAAAGAAAAUAUAGAGCAUCUCAUUCUCCUCAAAAACCUUCAAAGUGCAAGAAAGGUAUGUAUCCCUUCAAAAGAGCAAAAGUAUAAUUAGACUUUCACCAUUGUUUUCACCAUCAUCACCAUACACCAUUCAUUCGCCACACAUGCACAUCUUGAUAUUGACUUAUUGACUCUUUUCUCUAGAUCCAUGGUUUGACUAUGCAAUAAAUGUCUUGUAAGUAUGUAUACUUUAUCUCCCACCUAUGAGCUCCAGAUAUCAAAGCCCUAUUAGAGUAGGAUGAGAGAGAAGACAAUGUCACUAUGCCUCAUACCACAAAUACCACAUACUUUGAGAGAAGGCAUAUACCAUCAUUGCCUUGGUAAGGAUCCAGAAAUACCACAAAAGGGAAAAUUGAGAGAGUCAUACAAGGAAUCUCUGAGUUUUAUUUUGAAAAUCUACAAAAAACUCCAGAGCUAUAGUUGAUCAAAGAACAAGAGACAUCAAGCUUGACUUGACCAUUCUAUCUUUUAACUGCUCAAGACAUAAGUGACGGUUGCAAGCCCCAUGGUGAAAGGCAAAAUGAGUAAGUUUUAAGUCUUAACAGUUUACUCUAACUCAGAGAUAAGACCUUGUUUGAAAGCAUGUGUACCGUCAUCUUUCUAAGGCCUUGCAGCAAUUUCUGAUCCAUCAUUAAGUCUAUCCUUGCUCAGGGACGAGCAAGAGGUAAGCUUGGGGGAGUUUGUUGAUGGUCCAUAAGUAUCAAAUUUAAUCAUCAAAUAAAUAAAGAAAAGGAUCCAAAUGCAACCAACACCCAGACUUAGGGUUUUAUCUGACAGAAUUCCACGAGUUUUGGUGUUUGUCUAUUUCUGCAUGGGGUUAUCAGGAAAUAUGGAGGAAAGGCCCACACGUCGGGUUUACAUAGAGAUAUUAACGUGUGCGGCAAUUUUCUAUCAUCUAGAAGACUCCAGAAGCCACGGGAAUGAACGGGAGGCCGAGCGGGCCUGGGGGCAGGGCGCCCGCCCUCCCCCCUAGGGCGCCUGCCCUGCUAUAGGAACCAAUCAGGCUCUGCCUCGAGGAUUAUGCUCCACCGCCUUUGAAGAUCAAGGAAACCCAUGCGAUUAAGGUCGGUUUGAUGCGACGACCCACGUUCAUUUAAGGGGGCUAUAUAAGCAGGGCCCCUGGCCCCUGGAGGAGGCAUCCCUAUUGAAUAUUCAUAGACAGAGCAAAAGCUAGGAUUUGGAGAUGAGAGCUCUCCUCUCUUGUCUAAACUAGAGUAGAUCUAGAUAGUAGCGGGAUGGGGAGCGAGGGAGGAUUGGAGGAGAGGCCGGCCUGUUGGUUCUUCCUCUAGUUGUACUUCGCCAUGAUCAAGCUCUAAUCAAGCUUGCUCAUGGGAUGACUCUGGUAAUCUACUUCUAUUUUAUUAUGCAAUCCAUGUAUGUUCUGGUUCACAACUCUUUUGAGUACUUUUAAUCUAUAGGACCCUAUAGGUUAGAGUUGUAGUAUAGGUGUAAGUAUGGUGCUUAGACCUAGAUUACUUGUGGAUAUCCCCUGUCUAGCCAGAUCGUGUGGUAGGCCGCAUAGGUGACAGCUACGUUGAUCCUCUGUAGUCCACCUCCCAUUAGCAGGACUGGUAGGUUUUAUCGGCCUAUGGAUAAGUAUCCUUUGUGGUGUAUUCUUAUCACGUGGUUCGUCCCAGACAUAGACAUACCCCUUUGAAGUAGAGAAACCAUAGGUAUCCUCUCUAUUCUCCUACCAUCGCCCAUAUACUAGAUUGCUCUACUCUCUAUUCCCAUAUUAUCACCCAUUGUUAUCUUACCUUUAAUAUUGUUUUUAUUCAAUUCUACCAUCUUUCCUAUUUACACCUACCGAUCUAUCUAGGUUAAGUUAGAGUGUAGAUCAGUUCUCCCGUUUCCCUGUGGAUACGAUAAAAUCUUUAACCGGGUAAAAGCUACAACGGUAUCCAUGCGCUUGUGGAUUUAUUUGUGUGCGUAUAAAUACCAUAGUACACUCUAGUGCCAUGCUGGGGAUGACAACCUAGUAUUCAGGUGGUAUUAGCAAGUGUCAACACUCAACUUUUUUUUCACUCAGGUGGGAAUCUUUGUACCCCUAAUUCUACUGUUAGACACUUGUCCAUUUUUACCUCUCGUCUCACACUUUUUCUUUUCUGAGGUUGUCGGGCACUUGCCCCUUUUUAUUUCCUUGAUAUAUAUAUUUUUUUGAGCACUCAUCCUUCUUAAACAACAAAGCAAGAGAUAUUAGCAAAUAUGACUGGAGCAUUAUUUCACAAGGAAUAACAUGAAUAUGAGAAUGUUUUUGGCUAUUCUCUCCUUGAUAGGAGUAGAAUAAUUUUGGGUGAAUCUAGAGAUGGAAAUCAGUGAAUGUGAAUGGGUGCAUAAUUAGAAGCAGCGUAUGUGAGUGGAGUGUAAGUGAAUCUUGAUUUAAACCACAUGACUAGCUCCUGAGGGCCUACACAGCUGGACCACACUCAAUACUCAUAAGAUGUAAAUAUCAGUGUGUGGUUCCUUAAUCUAGUAAGCAUGUAUAUAACUCGUCAUAUAGGAACUCAUCAUGAAGCACUUCUAAAGGAUUUUCAAAAUAAAACUCUCCAGAAUUCUAGCAUCUCUAGGAACUGAUAAAUAGCAGCUCAAACCUUUCCAUAUCAUAUCCGUCAACGACUUAGACUUUAGAUCAAGUACUCUACCCACAAGUUCAGGUUUAGACUAAAUUUCAAAUCAUAACAGUCAUGCCUAAACUGGAGAGAGAGUUUAGAUUUGAAAACUAGGUACUUGAAAGGAAUUACAAUAGAGCAACUAUUCAUCAUCUCCAUGUAAGAGCUUAUCAUAGAGGUUUAUUUGAGCAUAGCUACUUUAUUCUCUCCUAUUAUUUAUUAGCAAACUUAAAGACUAAACAGAAACAUAUGAGUAGGAAAUAUUUAUUUGGAUUCCUAUGGGUAUGCAUCUUUUUGGUAGAGGAUUCAUAAGUCAAAAUACUUAUCUGGAUAUAUAGGGGUGCUCUCCCGAAAGCUAGAUUUUGACAUAAUUUCAUUUGAUGUGGCUGGCUGGUAGCAGAGGUGUAUUUGUCGGAGCGACUGUUGAGACAAUACUCUGACAGCGGCUAGGAUGACCUCUGUCUGUCGGCCUUCUUUUGAUCCUUAGAUUCUGCGGAGCUCAAAUAGACAACAAAGCUUGUGGAACUGAUUAAGUGUUAGUCAUAAAUCUCUAGCUUUGAUCAUGUCGAGCUUCCUCUAAUAAAUUUUAUUUAUUUAGUAGGAUCAUACAAUUAUUAUUUUUAUAUUUUUAUUAUAAGAUGAAAACAUAUUUAUUUUAUUUUUAUGCCACCAUGGUGAAUAUCCCUAUGGAUUUUUACACACCACUGAAUUAUUCACAUGGGGCUUUAAGUUUUAUGAUGCAGUGCAAUAGAAAAAUAUUUUUAUCUUCUUUUGUAAUUAAAUGGUAAUGCAGAAAAGGUAAAUAUGGAUAACUACCAAUUUUACCUCCCGACAAGGGUUCAGUGUUUUGAGUCCUCUGAAUAGGACUUCUUACCAUGUCAUUCCUUUAGGUGCAUCCUCUGAUAAUUGCACUUCUUGAUAUGAAGGCUCCCAUGUUCUUCUUUUGCUCAGCAGUUCGAAGUGAAGCGUUAAGUAUGGAAGCUAGCAACAUCUUGCUUAGUAUGUAUGUCCUCAUAGAUCCAGAUCCUUUACUUGGCUGAAUUCGGGAGUUGGAAAACUCUUCCAUGUUGCUCAAAAUGUGUCCUGCUCAUAGCGACAAGGCAGAGAUCAAGUGCAUGGGCUCUGUUGGUGGACACCAACAGAACCAAAAGUCUAUUCAUUCUUCUCUAACCUUAAACAUAGCGAUCAAGAUAAAGUUGAUUGGUGAUAAGAACAGAAGAUGAGUAUUAAAAACAAUUGUCAGAUCAGAUCGCUCAACCUAUGAAAAGAUAAUUUAUUUAUGAUCUUCCUUUAUAUGACUAUCAUCUUCCAAAGGUUGGAUGUGCAACAUUAUAGCUCAUAUGGUUAACACAAUGAGAUUCUAAAAGUGGUUCUACUUAACAUGCUGGGUUAAUCAGGUUGGAUCAAACAAAGCUGUAAUUCUAAUAUGUUUGGCUCUUCAUGUAUAUGCAUACCAGAAUCAAGGUGAAGCUUUUUAAAAGUGAUAGUUGCUAGAGAUGCUACCUUAAUUAUUGAAGAGUGAUGGUACUGUAUCACCUUAUGGAAGCUUUCCUUGGUUCGUGGUUCUAUGUCUUGUCCAUGUACUUUUUGUCUUCUUGUUCCAUGGGUCUCAUCUCUCUUUGAUGAAUGAGCUAUAUCUUCCUUGUGCAAGUUGUUGAAGCUCAUGUGUGUCUCUCUUCAUCUCUAGUGUAGUUUAUCUCAGAACUUUCCUAGUUUGAUAUCAAAAGUUUUCCUGCAGGGGUUAGUCUAACAAAAUAUCCAAUAUUUACUAUAGCAUACUAUUAGUUCAAAAAUCAACCUAGACACCACAUAUAAUUUGACUUAGGAAGGCAUUUUAACCAUGCAUAAUUAAAAGCCUUUGAAAGUAAGAUCACCACUCCUAAACUAAGCACCAUGCUUCAUUUAAGAGAUGAAUGAAACUACUCCAAACCUACGCAUAUACUAAAGCAAACAAAGGUAGCAUGAAAACAUUUAAGAGGUUUACACAUGUGAUUUGCAUUCAACAAAUUGAGCAUGACUUUAAGGUAGGCACAACCAACAUAGCAACAUGGCAAAGUCUGUUUUUAUGUAAGAUAUUCCCCCAAGCUUGAAUUUUGUAAAAUUUAAGUUUGGAUGGAUGUUGCAUGAUGAUAGGGUGGACAUGCAUUGUGUUUGUCAGUCCUUCGAUCUCUUUGCUCCAAACUUGGAAAGGUUAGUGACAAGAAUACCCAAAGGAAUAUUUUCACAAUUACAUUUUUAUGCUCAAUACACAAGGCAAUGUUGCGAACAAGUGGAAACUCAUGUUAUGAUUUGGUAAGCGCUAAUUUUAGGACACUAAGCUUGUCCUUGGGAAACCAUCAAAUUACUAUUAUGUUGGCGAAGCGGUUUCCCCUCCAUUACCAUCCUAUUUAUACCUAUCUCAAGAUCACAAUGACAUUUGCAAUAUUUAUUAUAAACAUAAGCAUCAACAACCACCCUUUUAAAGUUUUUAUAAAUAGAAAGGAAGAAGGGGUUGGAGAUCUCGAAUGCGGUGAGGUUGGAGAGACCAAUUGAUUAGGGAGAUGUCUCAUAUGAGCAUGGGUAGGAUGAGGUAGUUAUGGAAUAGAUUCCAUGCUCAUUGAUGUCAUCUUCGUCUCCAAUCUGAAUGUUUGAAAUUUCAUCUAGAUUGGUCUCAUCUUGGUUCUCUUCCAUAGAUGGAUGAAUAUUAUCUUCAAAGGUAGUUAAAGACUCACCAUUUGAAAUUGAGCCAAGGUUGGAAAGCAUUAAGGUUUCUUCCUUGCCCAUCCAUUCUACACAUUCUUGCCAUAGUCGUAGCAUCUCUUGAUCAUCCUCAUGGUCUUCAUGACUCCUAUGGUUUGGUUGAUUGCUAGGAUCAUCAUAAGACGGGGAAUGAAGGGGAUAAGAAGAAUCUACAAGGUCAAUGAUGGGUUUAGAAAUGGGUUCAUGAUUUAAGAACAUAGAAGGGGAAAAGAUAGAAUUUUCAAUGUGGCUUAGCUCUGCUUCUAUGGCAUCACUUGUAAUGCCAUCCUCGACUUCUUCAUAAUAGGAAUCAGGACAUUCUUUAAGACAACCCUUCUUGCAAGAAUUUAAAUUAUCCCUGCUUGAAAGUCUCUUAUGAAACCAAAAGUCUAAACCACCAACAUUUGAAGGAUCUAAGGUUGGAAUUACUCCUUCCCUUAGAGAAUUUUGGGGUAUUGAUGGUUUAGGAUCGAUAGCUAAAUCUUGGGAUUGGAAUGGUUGCGAUUUGGCUAUCGGAACCACCUCUUCUUGUUCAAGGACUGAUUCCUUCUCUUUCUCAGGGAUUGGCUUCUGAAUGCUAGGGCAAGGAGUCUUUCCACUCAUUUUAUCAAUCCAAUUCCUUGCAUCACUAGUAGACAGGUGAAAGAAAGAUCCUCCAGAGGCUGUAUUAAGGGAUUUCUUAUCUUCCCUACUAAGGCCCGCAAAAAAGUGUUCCAAAAGAACAUGUUCUGGAAUACGAUGAUUUGGGCUAGUGAGAGUAAGGUCAAUAAAGCAAUCCCAAGAUUUAUCAAGAGAUUGUUCUUCUAGUUGUCCAAAAGUAAGAAUCUCAUUCCGAAGAUCAACCUCUUUGGUGAUUGGAAAAUAUUUUAGAUGAAAAUUAUUGUGUAGCACCCUCGAAUCUCCUUGAAAACUUCCUACGUUGAGUUUAUACCAAUGUUUAGCUUUUCCCAUUAAGGAGAAUGGAAAGAGCUUCCAUUGAAUAGUCUCAUCGGACAUGCCUUCAAUACGAAGAAGGUCACAGAUUCGUCCAAACUCUUGUAGGUGUGUAUAUGGGUUUUCCUCAUCUUCUCCCAAGACAGGUUGUUUUUGAAGAAAGUCUAUGUAUUCCGGGCUUAUCUCAAAACUAGAUGUCGUGAUAGGCUUUGAAGAUUUUGGUGGUUUGAGGUAUGUGCUCGUUAAUCUACCAUAUUGAUAGAUAGGAAUGUUGUCAUCCAUGGUAGACAAGAGAUAAAGAAAUAGGUAAGAAGAAAGAAUAGCAGAGAUGCGGCAAAGGAUAAAGAGGAAUGAGGAUAAAGAAUAUGAAAAGAUAAGAAAGAUUUAUAAAUAUAUAUAUUUUUAUUUAAAAAAUAAAUGAUUAAGCUAGUUCGUAGUUAACUCAGCAACCAAUUCCCCGGCAAUGGCGCCAGAAAGCUUAUUGGGUAUUUUAAACGCAAACAGAUAAAUCCGCAAGUGCACGGAUACUGUUGUAACAUUCACCUAUGAAGGGUUGUAAAUAUCGUAUCCACAGGGAAACGGGAGAAUCAACUAUGCUCUAACUUAACCAGAAAGGAUAAGUGCGUGAAAAUAAAGUAUAUGGUAAGAACAAGAUAAGGUAAGAUAAAAGGUAAGACCAAUAUCAAAGGUAUAGGACAAUAAUCUAAUAUAGAGGCAAUAAUAGGAGAAUAGAGAUAAUAGCUAUGGUUUCUCUACUUCUAAUGUUGGCAAGGAGCUAUGUUUAUGUGAUUCAACUAGGGACAACUCCUAGUAGGCCGCAACAGAGUACCGAAUCUACUAGGGAACAGACCCUACUGCCCUACAAAUGGGAGAUGGACUACAGAGGAUUCAACGAAGUUGUCACCUUCACGAUCUACCACCAAUCCAGAAUGUAGGGGGUAUCCAUUGUCUACCUAAGUCUAAGCACCAUGCUGUUGUUGGUCGAAAACGUCAACUUUUAUUAGAGCUUUAAACUUGAGGGAGAACAUGAAAACAUACUAGUCUAGGGUUUAAACUGAUAAUUUCCAUGAGUUUUGCAUAUUCUGUAUUUUCUAGGGUUUAUUUCCAGAAAAGCAGAAAAGAGGGAUUCAAGUGCAUAUUUACCACAAAAUUUAUCCACCACAAAAAAGAUCACGAACGGGACGUGAGAACCGGGGCCUAGAGGCCGCCAGGUGGGGCCGGCUGGCUCCACCAUGGCGCCGGCCGGCGCCCCCGUGUUAGGGUUUUGGCCCCCCUUCUUGAACCUUCCUCCACUACCUCCGAGGAGUCAUCUUGGCCCUUGGUUAAGUCGGUUUGAUCUUGCGGCGCAUGUCGAUCCCACCGGGCUAUAAAUAAAGGGGCAGACCCGCCUCCCUAAAGGUAUCGUGUCAUUUGGAGAUCAAUCCAUCAAGAGUCUUCUCUAGUUCAUCAGAUCCUCUUUAGUUCAUAGAUUUAGCCUAGUUAGAUUAGAAGUAGAAGAGUUCUAGUUCUUUAGUGGGAGCGUGGAGUUCGGUAUAGCUCUAGUACCUUUCUCUUAUUGUAUUCAAUUUUAUGAUUCAGGCAACAUUGUUCUUAAUCUCUUAUAUAGUCUUAAUUGCAAUAGCCAUUAUCGACUUUGAUUAUAUGUCUAGGAUAGUAGAUUUGAUUUUAUUGAAUCCAUGUAAUUGCUUGUAUAGCGUUUACCUAAUCAUUUGGUGGGUAGAUGGUAGACAAUAUUUAGAUGUGGUGUCUAGAUAUCUUGUUUAUCUGUGAUGACACCCUGACGUGCCAGGUCAUGUGGUAGUCCGCGCAGGUGACAGCUGCAUUGGUUCCUGUGUAGUCCACCCCCAUACGUAGCAUGUGAUUGUGAUAUAGGGUUGACUAAACAAUGAUUUCUAGAUGUAAUUUCACUAAUUAGAGUUAUUCAUUGACGUAGUUAUAGAAUUACCUUAGUAUUUCUUCCUAAGUUUAUCCAAUGGCUAGCUAUUACUAUGACUAGAAGAGCUCUGGUAUUUAUCUAUUUAUAAUGACUGAUCAUUAUUUAUCUUAUAUCUUUUAUCAAGUGACUUAUCCCUAAUAUGAGUAGCAUUCUAGUUAGGGUUUACCGUUCACAUCAAUAGUAUAGUUAUAGUUAUAAGUCCUACAUAUAGACCAUCCCUAUGGAUACAAUAUUUAAAACCCCCGGGUAAAAUGUGACAUUGGUUUGAUAUCUGUGUGCUUGCGGAUAAUCUUACUUAAAUCUUAUUUAAAGGAGUGUAGUUAAUUUAUACCAACAAUCAUUUUUGGUGCCAUUGCCAGGGAAGGUAGCUAGGCAAUUAAGGAACGUUGAUAGACUUAUACUCAAUUAUGCGAUCGAGAUAACCAUUAACCCCUGCUCAAGCAGGAUUACCCUUGUUUGUCUACUUUUGUAUCUUAUGUAGGGUAAUAAACGACCGGUUUAUGAUCUUCCGGAAUGCCCCCACAAAAUAAGAAGAAACAUAAAAAAUCCAAUGUUGGAGAAAGAGGUCGACGUCAUAGGACUUUAAUUCAUAUCUCAAGUGACGGGAACAAAGAUGUUGCAUCACUCACAAUUACAGAAGGUGAGAAAGUCUUGCUCAUGGACUUCAACAAUUAUGAGUAGUUAUCUUUUAUAUUCCACUAUAUGUUUACAUUAAUCCAAAUAUUCACACUAUUUAGUUUAAAUUCCUUAGCCAUAACUUGUUCUAUUUCAUAUAUUCAUCUCACAUGCAUUAUAAAAAAAACUCACCAUGAUCAUGCUCUUUUAUCUCUAUGUGAAUAAAUAUCUAUAAUGCUUUCAUGUCACCUUUGUUUUCUAUAGUAUAUGUUUAGGUUUGGAGUAGUUUCAUUUAUCUAUUAAAUAAAGGACGGUUGCUAGUUUAGGAGUGAUGAUCUUACUCUCAAAGGCUUUUAAUUAGACAUGGUUAAAAUGCCUUCUUUAAUCAAAUUAGACGUGGUGUCUAGGUUGAUUUUUGAGCCGAUAGUAUGUUGCAGUGGAUACUGGAUAUUUUGUCGGACUAACCCCUACAAGAAUAUUUUGAAUUAAAUCUAGAAAAGUCAAGAGAUAAGUUCACACUGGGGAUGAAUCAAAGCAGAUGAUAACUUUGCACAAAAAGUACAACUUGUGAGUACUAAUAUUUAUUCAUUUAUCUUUUGUUACAAGUUAUCUUUGCCUUGAACCAUGCUAGAUUGCAACAACAACAACAUAAAAACAUGAUAGACAUAAUUUAUGCUAAAUAAUCUUAAAUCAUAUAUCAUCUUGAUUAGCAUAGAAGAAAAUCAAAAAAAAGGAUGGACAACAAAACCCGUAUUUCAAUCUUGCUAUUCCCUAGGGUAUGUGUCCAUUAAAGUUUUGCAGGAAAUAACAACCUUAAUCUAUUGGAGAAGAAGUUUUCAAAUGAGCAUUAUCGCAUGUCCAAUAGACCCCAGCUCGUCAAUUACAAAUUAACCAAAGACAUCAGAAAAAAAAGUUGAUGAGUGAAGAGGAUGUAAUCUUCUAUAGUUUCAUUGAAUGGUGAAAAGGCGAAGAAUAAAAGGAAGGCCUUGCUCAGCAAGACCAGAAGCUCUCACCAACAGAUGAACCCAAACCCUCCUCUUCCAAGUAAGUUCAUCAUCACUUACUUAGAAAGAUGAAGAUAUGAGGUACGUUUGUCCAAGCCUCAUGCAACAAGUAACUACAAUUAACAUCUCAUACCAUGUUGCUAAUUUGUCUUGGUCAUUUCUACCCUACUCUAUGCUCAAACAUAACUUGCUAAUAUAUAUAUAUAAUAAAAUGCUCUUGUGGUUCACCAUACAUAUUCUCGGUUCUAUGUGAAUAAAAACCUUUAGUUUUGCAAACUUCCUUAUUCUAUUAUAAGUAUGCUUUAGAAUAUUAGUUAAAGAUUAUGAAAAUCAAGCCUACUUAUAUAAGAAUUUAGUUGUACAUAUAGACUAACCCUCUUACUUAAAAAAUGUUUAAAUCAUAUUAGGAGACUAUUCGUAGAAUCAAUUCAAGGUUAAGAGUAUGCUUCAAAAUAAUAUCCUUGCUUUAACCUUGAUAUAUAAAAAAUUGAAAUAGUAUCAUUGAAAACAUGAGCUACAAAUCAAUCUUUAACUCUUAGGCAAACACUAUCCAUACUUUCAUAAAUAGUAUAUUCCUUCGGGUAUGUGUUCUCCACUAACCCUUGCAGAAAAGACAUAAUGAGAGAGGCAGAAGGUCUGAAGAGUGAGAAAGGAGUACAACAUACGAGACAAUAUGCUAAUGAAUAACCCAUGAUACAAGAAAAAAAGAGUGACCAUUGAAAUUCAUCUACCCUUCAUCAUGCUCUAAUGGAGGUAACAUCUUAAGAUAAGUGGUCAUUAAUUUCCUCUCUAUCUUGGUAUGCAAUAAAUGAAAAUACAACAUUGUUAGAGUUACAACUUAAAUUGAUCAACCUGAUUAAACUCAACAUGAUUUAUUCUCUAAGAUUGUUCAUAGCGCUAUUCUUGUAAUCUCAGUCUUAACCGAGUAAGCUAGAAAUACUUCGUCUAGUAUUCUUGAUAUAUUAUAAAUAUGAAUAGCCUCUCUAAUGGUUAAGUAACUUUAGUCUUUAUCUCACAAGUUUAAAUAUCAUAUUUAUACUUCUGAUCCUCUCACCCAUGAUAGGAAUGAACAAUAUGAAUAAUAUCAAUCUUAUUGUGUCCAAGGUUAGAGGAUAAAUAAAUUUCUAGUUCUAUUGGUGUUUUCCCACCAACAGAGCCCAUGCACUUGAUCUCUACCUUGUCUUUAUGAAAGUUUUCAGCUAGUAAUAAGAAUGCACAUAAGAUUGGCUUUGAGACGCCUACAAUAGAAAGAAAUAAGGUGGCACCGCUAUUGGGAGCCACUAGUAGAGGCACCACCACAAUCCUUACCAUCAAGAGCAACUCAAAGUACUCAAUGAACCACUACAAGGAGAAGUCGAGUUCAAAGGACUAAAAAUAUCAAACCCUCGCCGUAAGGUAACAUCGGUAGUUAUCUAUAUCUACUUCCUUACAUUGUAUGAGUUAAUUUCUCUUUAGUAUGUUUACCUUUCAAUAUUGGCAAUGCAUAGAAAUAACAAAAAAUAGUCUUGCAUUAGGCUACAUUCAUGCAUCUUUUAAAAAAUAAUAUAUAUAUUAAGUUCCAUGUGAAACCCUUGUAGUGUAAAAGAUGUAGGAGUUCUCACUGUGGUGGCCUAUAGAACAAAAAUAUAUAUCAUGCAUUUGCACUUUAUGCAUAUAAACCCAUAAAAUCCAAAAAAAUAUUAACCGAGCAUCCUGCUACAAUACUAUUUUCUUAAAAACAAUUUGAAACCACCACAACAUCUAAUCCUCUAAAAACAGUAAUCAUUAAUGUUUUAUAGUGUUUCCUUCUAUCUAAGUUCUGUUGGUAGGCUUUAAAUUCCGUACCCUAGCCAUAAUGUCAGAUUGGUAGUUAUCUAGUUAAGGUAGCAUGCAUUAGUAAUUUUGCUUUAAUACACCUAGUAGCAUAUUUAUUUCUCUUAGCAUAUUAACACAAAAUACAAACAAAUAUUUAUUGCUUUAAUUCCAACAUCAUAAAUAACAAGCCCCAUGUGAAUAAACUUAUGGUAUCCCCUUAUGAAUAUUUACUGUGGUGGCAUAAAAAAAUAUAGCAUUCAAAUUUAAAUUCCUGCAUCAUAAAUAGAAAAUUAAAAAAUAAGAGAAAAUUGAAAUCCUGUUUAAAUUAGACAACAAUAAAGCUAGCUCAUAAUGGUGAUACAGUUACUAUUUGGCCGACCGCUAACCCAUUAACAAAUUCAAGCCUCGAGUUUUGGUUUCUCUUUGUGGAGAGUAUUUAUACAGGAAUAACAUCAUAGCAAGGAGAGAAUCUAUCAGUGGCACCCACCAGGUCUGCUACUGGUUAGCUCACUCUAAAGGACAUCUACACCAAGUAUUGCAACCAUUCAGCUUUGGGGAGGAGCAUCCCCUAGUUAUCAGGUAAUUAUACCUAAGUGAUUUUUGAGUCUACAUAGUUAUAAAAAUACCAAAAAUAUGUGGGCACAUGAAGGUCCACAAGUCAUAGAGUCUUUUUCUAAUUUUAUAAUAAGUUAAGUGUCAGAGUCUAUUUAGAGUCAGUCUAAACUAGAGCUAAACAAAAAUUGAUGAACAUUAAAAUUUUGUCUUGGAGAUGAUGAAUAGUUGCUCUGUUAUAAUUCUUUACAAGUACCUAGAUUCCAACGGUAGAUUCUCUCGAGUUUUGGACAUGACUGUUUUAAUUCGAAGGUUUACUCUGAACCUACAACUUGUGGAGGCAUUAGUUUGAGCUAAGUCUAGGUAGUUGGUUGAUAUGAUCAUUGAAAGUUUGAGCUCCUAUUUAUCUUAUUCCUAGCAUUAUCAAGUUCAGGAGAUUUAUCAUGAAAAACCAAAAUCCUACAUGAUGACGUCUUGUAUGACAAGCUUGAAUUCCUACCAAAGCCAUAUAUAAUACACAUUUAGAGUAAGGAAAACUUUUGCACAUUUCUGCUGCUUGCUUUGCAUUGAGUUUAGUCAACCUUUGUAGUAUACCUUAAAGUCUUUAUUGACGGUCCUUAAGUAUCAAAUUUAUUCAUCAAAUAAAUAAAGAAAAGGAUCCAAAUGCAACCAACACCCAGAUUUAGGGUUUUAUCUGACAGAAUUCCACGAGUUUUGGUGUUUGUCUAUUUCUACAGGGGGUUAUUAGGAAAUAUGGAGGAAAGGCCCACAUGUCGGGUUUACAUAGAGAUAUUAACGUGCCGCGCAAUUUUCUUUCAUCUAGAAGACUCUAGAAGCCACGGGAACGAACGCGAGGCCGAGCAGGCUCAGGGGCAGGGCGCCCUCCCUCCCCCCUUGGGCGCCCGCCCAGCUCUGGCAACCAAGCAUGUUCAACCUCGCGGAUUAUGCUCCACCGACCUAAAGGAUCAAGAAGAACCGUUCAAUCAAUGUCGGUUUGAUCCGACGGCCUAGAUUCACUUGAGGGGACUAUAUAAGCAGACCCCCUGGCCCUUGGAGGAGGCACCCCUUGAUCCCUAUUCAUUAUUCAUAGACAGAGCAAAAGCUAGGGUUUGGAGAUGAGAGCUCUCCUCCCUUCUCUAAACUAGAGUAGAUCUAGAUAGUAGCGAGAUGGAGAGUGAGGGAGGAUUGGAGGAGAGGCCGGCGUGUCGAUUAUUCCUCUGGUUGUACUUCGCCAUGACCAAGCUCUAAUCCAGCUUGCUCAUGGGAUGACUCUGGUAAUCUACUUCUAUUUCAUUAUGCAAUUACUAUUCAUGUAUGUUCUAGUUCACAACUCUUUUGAGUACUUUUAAUCUAUAGGACCCUAUAGGUUAGAGUUGUAGUAUAGGUGUAAGCGUGGUGCUUAGACCUAGAUUACUUGUGGAUAUCCCCUAUCUAGCCGGAUCGUGUGGUAGGCUGCGUAUGUGACAGCUACGUUGGUCCACUGUAGUCCACCUCCCGUGAGCAGGAUUGGUAGGGUUUAUCGGCCUAUGGAUAAGCAUCCUUUGUGGUGUAUUCUUAUCACGUGGUUCGUCCCAGACAUAGACAUACCCCUUUGAAGUAGAGAAACCAUAGUUAUCCUCUCUAUUCUCCUUCCAUCGCCCAUAUACUAGAUUGCUCUACUCUUUAUUCCCAUAUUAUCACUAAUUGUUAUCUUACCUUUAAUAUUGUUCUUAUUCAAUUCUACCAUCAUUCCUAUUUACACCUACCUAUCUAUCUAGGUUAAGUUAGAGCGUAGAUUAGUUCGCCCGUUUCCCUGUGGAUAUGAUAAAACCUUCAAUCGGGUAAAAGCUACAACGGUAUCCGUGCGCUUGCGGAUUUAUCUAUGUGUGUAUAAAUACCAUAGUACACUCUAGUGCCAUGCUGGGGAUGACAACCUAGUAUUCAAGUGGUGUUAGCAAGUGUCAACAAGCAUUUUUGGCGCCGUUGGUGGGGAAACGGUUGCUGAGUUGACUACGAACUAGCUUAAUCAUUUUCUAAAAAAAUAAAAAAUAUAUAUAAUAAUAAUAUAUAUUUCCUUUUAUCCUUUGCCUCGUCUCUGCUAUUCUUCCUUCUUAUCUAAUCCUUGAUCUCUGGUCUAUCAUGAAUUCAAACAUGUCUAUCUAUGAAUUUCAUAGACCUACGGGCGCACAUCUUGAACCACCAAAAUCUUCAAAGCCUAUCAUAGCAUCUAGUUUUGAGAUAGACCCCGACUACAUAGAAUUUGUUCAAAAACAACCUUUCUCAGGAGAAGGUGAGGAAAACCCAUACACACACCUAAGAGAGUUUUAUCGAGUCUGUGACCUCCUUCGCAUAGAAGGCAUGUCCGAUGAGACCCUUAAAUGGAAGCUCUUUCCGUUCUCUUUAACAGGAAAAGCUAGACAUUGGUACAAACUCAAAGUAGGGAGUGUUCAUGGAGAUUGGAAGGAGUUGUAUAAUAGAUUUCUUUUUAAAUAUUUUCCAAUCUCCAAAGUGGUGGAACUUCGGUGUGAGAUUAUUUCUUUUAGACAACUGGAAGAAGAAUCUCUUGGCAAAUCAUGGGACCGCUUUAUUAACCAUACUUACACUGGCCCAAAGCUUUCUAUUCCAGAAGAAGUUCUUCUAAUUCACUUUUUUGAGGGCCUUAGUAGGGAAAAUAAGCAAACCUUGAAUACAGCCUCUAGAGGAUCGUUCUAUCACCUACCUGCUAGUGAAGCUAGGGAUUUAAUUGAUUCAUUGAGUGGAAAGUUUCCUAGCAUUUAUAUCCCUAAGAAAGAGAAAGAACCAGUUCCUAGACAAGAAGAAGAAGUUUCGAUAGCCAGAUCAUAACCACUUCAAUUCCAAACUUUAGCUAUCGAUCCUAAACCAUCAAUACCCCAAAAUUCUCGAAGGGAGGAAGGAAUUCUGACCUUAAAUCUUUUAGAUGUUGAUGGUUUAGACUUCUGGUUCCAUAAGAGAACUUGAAGCAGGGAUAAUUCAAAUCCUUGCAACAAUGGUUCUCUUAGAGAAUGUCCUGGUUCCUGUUAUGAAGAAGUCGAGUAUGACAUAUCAAGUGAAGGAGAGCUAAACCAUAUAGAAGAUUCUAUCUGCUCCCCUUCUGUAACACCCUAGGUGUUAAGCAUGCACUUAGUCUCAUAAACCAUCCAUAAGCAUUCUCAUCAAGCAUAGCAUCACAUGAGCAUGUCAUUCACUCAAGUGUGAUUUUAUAGGCUUUAUUUUAUGUGAAUUAAAUAGGGUAAAAAUAUUAUGCUUGCUUCUAAAUUUCUUGAAAUGCCCAAAUUAGGUUGGAAUAUGUGUUAGAAGAUUUAAGAGUAAUUUGGUGAAAUUUUUGGAGCUAUAGAAUUUGAGAAAUGGAUUUUAUACCAAAAAUCCCUAAAAUGAAUUUAUUAAAAACCUGGAACUAGUUUUAAUUUGUGAUUCAAAUUCUAUUUGGAAUUUGAAUUUUCUUAUUAAAGAAAAGUUGUAGGGAAUUUUGUGGGGAGCAAUUCUUCUUUUUACCCCAACCCCUGAAAAGUUUUGCAAGGGCUUCAAAAAUAUUCUUUAAGCUUUUUAGAGAAAAGAAAUUCAAAAAAAAGAAAAUGGGGCAGGCGCUGCUGGGCCGACCCGCCUCCCUUUCGGCCCAGCCAAGCCGCACGGCCCGGCCUCCCCUCCCCUCUUUCCCGCGUGCGGACGCCCGCCUCGCUCCACUCGGCGCCGGCCACGUGGCGGCCGUACGCCGGCGUCGUGGACGCGGCCGACCGGCUUAUCCCGGUCGGGACGCCACCCCGCGCCCCCAGGCACCCCCAUUCUGUCCCCUCCCCACUCCCUCUCCUCCCCCGUUCGCGAGCGCAGCAGCAGCAGCGGCCGCGCGGCGCCAUUGUUGACCGAGCUCCACCGCUCGCCGCCGGCCACGCUAGUAACCCAUUCUCUGCGCCAAGACCACCACCGCGCUCGUCUUCGCCGCGGUAAGCCCCUGCGCGCGCUCUACCGAGGUGAGAGACCGCCGCGAGCCCUGAAUCGCUCGCCGCAGUUUCCCCGACCUCGUCGGAGUGCUCCACCACGUCGAAACCUGCUCGUUUCUGCCUCGUUUCUCUUGCUUUUGAGCGCGUUAGGUUCGUAGCAUGGUGAGGAAGCUCGGACGAUUCCCCACGCGCGUUCUACCCCACCGGAGCGGCCUGGCCACGACGAGCAGCGCCGCCGUGCCGCCAUGCAUGCCCGUGGGGGUGCUCCGGCAUCUCCCGGCCGAUCCAAGCGCACCCUCGGAUGCGCCUCGCUACGGGGAGCACGUUGGUGCUCACCCCGUGGCCGGAGACCUCACCGCUGACGAGUUCCGCUCGUUGGAGGUGCUCUCCCUCUCGGUCACGCUGACCAGUGGGGUCAGGGGCCCACUGUCAGUUGCAAGGGGACCGAGGCGUGUAGAGAUCUGGGUGUCUUUAGUGUUUUUCAUCCCGGUUUUGAAUUGGUUUUCAGAAAAUGAUUUCCAGAAAAUAGUCUAAAUGAUAUAAAAUCCAUAUCUUGAGAUAUAUGGCUCCAAAAUUGAUGAAAUAAAAUGUGGAUUGUUCUAUAAUUUCAGAUCUACAGUUUGGUGUGGUUGCAUGUCAUGUUUGAACAAAUUUUCUGUACAAAUAUAUUAAAUCCAUGUUUUUGCUGAAAAUUGGAAAAUGCAUAGUAAUUAAAAUAUAGCUCAGAAAAAUAUGAAACUUGUUUUGUUGGCUCUGCAUGGUUGAUUAGUCUCCGGAAAAAAUAUGUUACACAUUAAUUGCUAUAUGAAUUAAUUUAGAAUGAUUUAAAUGCUUGCAUGGCAGUGGUUUAUGAUUUUUAAUAAAUAAUUGGAUCAUGCAAUUAAUCUGGAAAUUUUUGUGGGUGUUUCUUAUGUUAAUAAGUAAAUUAUAAAAAUAUGAAAUCUACUGUUUGACACCUACACCACAGUAGGGCAAUUAUACUUAAUUAUAUGGAGUGAUCUUGUAAUUUUGGUUGCCCAAAAUAAAUGUCCAAAUAUUAUGAGAAAAUUUUGGUAGGCCUUAUGGUUGACUAGUAAUCUGCUAUAAUUUUUGUUGAAUUUAUUGUUAAACAGAAAUAUAUGCUACUUUUGUAUGUCCAAAAGUGAUUAAAUAAAAUAAGAAUUGUUGUGCAUGAAUUAAAUAGAAUAAAAGAUUGUUUGGUGUAUCUUUGAAGCAUCAUGUUAGCUUGCUGGUUAACCAUGAAGACAACUUGUAGAAGAGAAUGCAAUAGAUGCUUAGUUUGAUUACUUGUUCUUGGAUGAUGUUGACUACCUUGUAGAAAUGACCACCUAUAUCAUCUAUGCACCAUGUCAUGGUCAUCUGGUACCCACUUGCAUAAGCAUUGCACCCCGGGCAUCUCGUACUCCACUCAUGAGCACGCAUGCAUCAUACAGGCUCGCAGGAGAACGAGGUGGGACCCGAGGAGCAAGAGGAGACCUAGGAGCAGGAACUUCUGGGAGGACCAGAGCCCGGAGAAGAGUUGCAGGAGUGCCCUGAUGACAAGCCGAGCAUGUUUGAGAAAGUCAAGCCCCGGAGCAUUCUAAGUCUCCCUAUUCUCGCUAACUUAAAUGAUAUAUUAUGCUUGUUCUAUUAUGCUGCAUUUAAGUGAUAGGAAUUGUUUGAUAUCGUUGAUGCAUAAGUACUCCUUGAUAUUACCACUAGUUCAUCUACCUUGUCCUAUGUAGAUAGGCUCGGAGUCUAUUGCUUAGCUUGCUUAGUACGGUAGAAGUCGGAUGAUUUCCUGUCACCUGCGAGAUAAAGGUGGACACCUGUUUUGUUUAGCUGAUAAUGCGUUGAGGAAAAGUAACCAAGUGUGGGAAUGAAUUUGAGACCGGGCAGGGUCUUAUGGUGGGGAUGACCGUAGUGCCCCUGCCUGUGUCCAUUAAGGACCGAUCGUUGACGGCUCUCAUGUCAUGUUGAACGCAUGCCCCACACAUAGCUGGAAGGAUAAGUCAUUCCGACCGCGAAGCCUGAGCACUAUCUGGGCCGGGAAUCGGCCCGAUGUACGCGCUAUAUUCGUGAUGGUUCAGGAGAACGACGAGGGCGCGGCGCGCAACCUUGGUAUACCUUGGAUACCUCAAUCACCGGAACGGUCCUCAGGUAUCGGCGGUGCCUGUCGAACCCGCGAAUUGGUCCUAGAUAGUGCAACACGGUGAUCUGUAGCUCACUUGAUCAGUGAGUGUGGUUUGUGUGGGGAAUAAACUCGCCAGCUGGUCAGAAAUCGAUUCGAAUCGCCAUCGCUCCUGGAUAGUGAGCACUUGACAUGAGCCCUGUCCUCGUAGUAAGGACUAUGGAACACUUGGGUUAUGAUGGUAAAUGAUUUAUGAAUGCUAUGAUGAGGUACUGCCAUAUUACUACACUUAUUUGCAAUAGUACAGGUGCAAACCUAGAUAAUAGGUAAUGAUAUUAUUAAACUUCAGCUAAUUAAAAGAAGAAAGGUAUCUAGGCUAUGUUUAGUGGAAUAAUGCUUUUAUGCAACAAGUCUCAGCUACCCCACCAUACAGCCUUCAUGAUCCUUGAAGAGUCUUUAUUUUUGGUUUAUGACGGGUAAGUCUAGCUGAGUACAUUCUCGUACUCAGGGUUCUAUUCCCAUGUUGUUUUGCAGAUGGUCAAAUGUACUAUGGUUAUUGCAUCCUCUGCUUGUACCCAGCAAUGGGCGUUGAAUAGACCAAGGGCGAUGGUCAGUCUACCUUCUCUUUUGCUUUUGUGGGAAUGACCGAACUAUGGCACUGUACCAGACUAAAUGUGUGUGUUACUUUCGAACUAUGAAGCUUCCGCUACUUGAGAACUUGGUUUGUAAUAAUUUUCAGUACUCCGAUGUAUUUUUUAUGAAUGUGGUAAACUGGAUGUAAUUGUGAAUGGUGACCGCUGAACUUAUUACGAUCUUGGCUAUACGUACGAAUUGUGGUUUGAAAUCCUUCGAGAUUUCACGGUGUACCGGGAUUAUAUGGGCUUAAGCUCGGUAGUUUGACUGUGCAAAUGGUCACUAUCAGGCUUAAUCUCUUAUAAUUUGGGCGGUUUUGUUACACCUUCCAUGUUCACAAUUUGUAAACCCAUCCUUGACCUUAGAGACCCCUCUUAUACCUCUCCUUUUUAGUCUCAUUAUGAUCCUAGCAAUCCAUCAAGACGAUCAAACCAUAGGAGUCAUAAAGACCAUGAGGAUGACAUGUCAAGUAAUGUCAUAGAAAGAGAGCUAAGCCAUAUAGAAAAUUCUAACACGUGCCCUUUCCUGAUCAUAGGUUCUAAAUGGCUAGAAUGUGUAGAAUGGAUGGAUAAGGAAGAAGCCUUAAUGGAUUCUGACUUUGGCUCAAUUUCAAAUGGUGAGUUCUUGACUCCCUUUGAAGAUGAGAUUCAUCCAACUACAAAAGAGGACAUAGGUGAGACCAAUCUAGGAGAAACUCUGAACAUUCAGAUUGGAGACGAAGAUAACAAUAAUGAGCUUGGAAUUUAUUUCAUAGCCACUUCGUUUACUCCAUGCUCAUAUGCAACAUCUUCCUAAUCUAUUGUUAUCUCCAAAAUCACCACAUUUGAGAUCUCCAACCCCCUCUUCCUUUCUAUUUAUAAAAACUUAAGAGGGUUGUUGUCGAUGCAUAUGUCUAUAAUAAAUAUUACAGAUCUCAUUGAGUUGAUCUUGAUAUAGGUCAGCGUUAGAAGGUAAACCACUUCGCCGACAUAAAUUGAUGGUUUCCAAAGGACAAGCUUAGUGUCCUAAAAUAAGCACUGAUCAGAUCGUAACAUGAGAUUUUAAUUAUUUACAACAUUACCUUGUGUAUUGAGCAUAUAAGGAUAAUUGUAAAAAUAUUCCUUCGGGUAUUCUUGUCACUAACCUUUCCUGGAUUGGAGCAAGAAGAUUGGAUGAAUGACAAGCACAAGGUAUGUCCAACCAAUCAUCAUACAACAUUUAAUUAAAUCCAAACUUGAAUGUUGCAAAAUUCAAGCUUGGGGGAGUACUUUACAUAAAAACAUCCUUUGCCAUGUUGCUAUGUUGGUUGUCCCUACCUUUGAGACAUGCUCAAUUUGUUAAAUACUAAUCACACUACUUCAUCUCCACUUGAGUAGAUCUCUAUAAAUGCCAUCACGCUACCUUUGUUUAUCCUAGUAAGUGUUAGUUUGGAAGUACUGCACAUACUUCUAUUGGCUUUUAAAUUAAGCAUGGUGCUUAGGUUAAGCAGCCUUCCUUAAUCUGAUUAGACAUUGAGUCUAGUUCGGUUAUUGAACUAAAAACUGCUUGUGUAGACAUUGGUAUAUUUUGUUGGACUAACCCCUACAGGAAAACUUUGAAUAUCGACUUAGGAAGUCCUGAGAUAAACUCACAUUGGAGACAAAGAGAGAGACACAUCAAGUUUAACAAUUUACACAUGGAAUACGUAGCUCAUAAGACGUGAUCCAUGGAGGGUGCCACAAACACGAUGCACAACCGCUAAGAAAGGAAAGCUUCCACAAGGUGAUACUGUACCAUCACUCUUCAAGUAAGGUAACAUCUUAAGGUACUUGACUAUCACUUUUAUAAGCUUCUCCUUGGUUCUGGCGUUCAUAUGAAUAAAAGAGACAAACAUAUAUGAUUUACAACUCUAGGUUAACCAACCCAAUCGAUUCAACAUGUUUAGUCUUUCCACCUUUGUGAUCCCAGACUCCUAAUCAUAUGAGCUAAAAUGUUGCACACUCAAUCUUUGGAAGAUAUAUAAAACACAUAAAUAUAGAUAGAUUAUCUUAACAUUAGGUUGAGCGGUCUGAUCUGACAAAUGUUUUAAAUACUACACUCAUGAUCUUAUUAUCCAUCAAAUUUGUCUUACUCACUAUGCUUAAAGUUAGAGAAGAACAAAUACACUUUUGGUUCUGUUGGUGUUUUCCACCAACAGGGCCCAUGCACUUGAUCUCUGCCUUGUCUCUAUGAGCAGGUACACUUCGAGCAAAACAUGGAGGAGUUUCACAACUCCCAAAUUCCACCAAGCGAAGGUCCUGGAUCUACAAACACACUGAGCAAGAUACUGCCAACGCCGCACUUCGAACUGCUGGGCAAACGAAGAACAUGGGUGACACCGUAUCAAGAGGUGCAGACGUCAAGGUCCACACCUGAAUCAAAUGACGCACCUAAAGAAUGAACACGGUGAGAUGUCUGGUUCAGAAGACUUAAAACAUUGAACCGUCGCCGAAAGGUAAAAUCGAUAGUUAUCCAUAUUUAUCCUUUCUGCAUUCCCUUUUCCCUUAAAUUAUUUACUUUCCUUAAAUGGCUUGUUAGUUAAUCAUGCUAUCUUGAAAAGAAAAUAAAAAUGUUAAAAAUAGUAAGCCCCAUGUGAGUAUGCUCGUGGCAUAAAACCCAUAAGUACAUUCACUGUGGUGGUGUAAAAGUAAAAUAAAUAUAUUCCUAUCCUAUAGAAAUGAAAAUAUAAAAAAUAAACUUAUGACCCUACCAAAGAGAGUAAUAUUUAUUAGAGGAAGCUCAAUAUGAUAAAGGCAAAGAGAUUUUUAUGCUAACACUUAACCAGUUCCACAAAGCUUUGUUGUCUAUUUGAGCUCCACAGAAUUCAAGGAUCAAUGAAGACUAGCAGACGGAGGACGUCCUAAUCGCUGUCAGGAUGUUGCUAACAUUCAAAUACACCUCCGCCACCUGCUAGCUACAUCAGAAAAAAUUACUUCAAAAUCCAGCUUGGGAGAGAGCACCCCCAUUUAUCCAGCUAAGUGUUUCUACACGCGUUUAUACUUUACUCAAAUAAUAAAAAGAUGUAUAAUCAUAAAAACCCAAAUAAAGAUUUUGUGCUUACAUAUAUCUUUGCUUAGUUUGCUAAAUAAAUAAAUAAAGUUUGCUAUGAACCUCAUGAUAAGCUCUCACAUGGAAAUGAUGAAUAGUUGCUCUGCCAUGACUAGUUCUCAAAAUUGAAAUCUCUCUCAAGUUUAGGCAUGACUGUUAUGAAUUAAGAUUUGCUCUAAACCUGAACUUGUGGGAAGAGUACUUGAUCUAAAGUCUAUGUCAUUAACGGAUACGAUAUGGGAAGGUUGAGCUACUGUUUAUCUGUUCCUAGAGAUGCUAGAAUUCUGGAGAAUUUUAUCUUUGAAAAUCUUUAAAAUAUUGCAUGAUGAGUUCCUGUAUGAUGAGAGUUUAAAAUCCUACCAUAGCCAUAUAUACAUGCUUACUAGACUAUGAACCAUACAUUUACUUUUUACUGCUUAUGAGCAUUGAGUGUGGUCAAGCUAUGUAGACCCUUAGGAGCUUGUCAUGCGGUUAAAAUCAAGAUUCACUUGCACGUUCACUCAUACAUGCUACUUCUACUUCGGAAGUACGCAUCCACAUACAUCCACUCAUUUCCAUCUCUAGAUUCACCCAAAAUUAUUCUACUCCUAUCCAGGAGAGAAUAGCCAAAAAACAUUAUCCUAUCCCUGUUAUUCCCCGUGAAAUAAAUGCUCGAGAUAUUUUGGUUACUACCACUUGCUUCAUUAUUCUAGGACGGUGAGUGCUCUAAAAAAAGAAGAGAAGAAAAAGAAAAAUAUGAGGAAAUAAAAAGGGGCAAGUGCCCGAAACCUCGAAGAAAAGAAAAAGUGAGAUGAGAGGUAAAAAUGGACAAGUGUCCGAUAGUAGAAUUAGGGGUACAAGAUACCCACCUGAGAGAAAAGAAAAAGAAAAUAGAGAGCAUCUCAUUCUCCUCAAAAAGCUUCAAAGUACAAGAAAGGUAUGUUUCCCCUCAAAAGAGCAAAAGUAGAAUUAGACUUUCAUCAUUGUUUUCACGAUCAUCACCAUACACCAUUCAUUCGCCACACAUGCACAUCUUGAUAUUGACUUAUUGACUUGUUUCUCUGGAUCCAUGGUUUGACUAUGCAAUAAAUGUCUUGUAAGUAUGUAUACUUUAUCUCCCACCUAUGAGCUCCGGAUAUCAAAGCCUUAUUAGAGUAGGAUGAGAGAGAAGGCAAUGUCACUAUGCCUCAUACCACAAAUACCACAUACAUUGAGAGAUGGCAUAUAACAUCACUACCUUGGUAAGGAUCCAGAAAUACUACAAAAGAGAGAAUUGAGAGAGUCAUGCAAGGAAUCUCUGAGUUUUAUAUUGAAAAUCUGCAAAAACUCUAGAGCUAUAGUUGAUCAAGAACAAGAGACAUGGUGCUUGACUUGACCGUUCUAACUUUUAACUGCUCAAGCCACAAGUGACGGUUGCAAGCCCCAUGGUGAAAGGUAAAAUGAGUAAGUUUUAAGUCUUAAUAGUUUACCUUAACCUAGAGAUGAGAUCUUGUUUGAACACAUGUGUACCUUUAAGGCAUGACACCACUGCAGAAACUCUUGAGUCCAUCCUUGCUCAGGGACGAGCAAGAGGUAAGCUUGGGGGAGUUGUUGACGGUCCUUAAGUAUCAAAUUUAAUCAUCAAAUAAAUAAAGAAAAGGUUCUAAAUGCAACCAACACCCAGGCUUAGGGUUUUAUCUGAUAGAAUUCCAUGAGUUUUGGUGUUUGUCUAUUUCUGCAGGGGGUUAUCAGGAAAUAUGGAGGAAAGGCCCACAUGUCGGGUUUACAUAGAGAUAUUAACAUGCUGCGCAAUUUUCUAUCAUCU
This 43038-nucleotide long non-coding RNA is filed under the name Sorghum bicolor (sorghum). Its description in RNAcentral is "long non-coding RNA (SBIC_LNC006677)". The record is from RNAcentral. Lineage: Eukaryota; Viridiplantae; Streptophyta; Magnoliopsida; Poales; Poaceae.